AUUGAACGCUGGCGGCAGGCCUAACACAUGCAAGUCGAACGAGUGGCGGACGGGUGAGUAAUGUCUGGGAAACUGCCUGUUGGAGGGGGAUAACUACUGGAAACGGUAGCUAAUACCGCAUACCAUCAGAUGUGCCCCGAUGGGAUUAGCUAGUAGGUGGGGUAACGGCUCACCUAGGCGACGAACCCUAGCUGGUCUGAGAGGAUGACCAGUCACACUGGAACUGAGACACGGUCCAGACGCCUAUGGGAGGCAGCAGUGGGGAAUAGUGCACAAUGGGAGCAAGCCUGAUGCAGCCAUGCCGCGUGUAUGAAGAAGGCCUUCGGGUUGUAAAGUACUUUCAGCGGGGAGGCGUUACCCGCAGAAGAAGCACCGGCUAACUCCGUGCCAGCAGCCGCGGUAAUAC
Molecule: ribosomal RNA, 406 nt
Filed under: uncultured bacterium
Lineage: Bacteria
Description: partial 16S ribosomal RNA
Rfam family: Bacterial small subunit ribosomal RNA
Source: RNAcentral